Molecule: ribosomal RNA, 497 nt
Filed under: uncultured bacterium
Lineage: Bacteria
Description: partial 16S ribosomal RNA
Rfam family: Bacterial small subunit ribosomal RNA
Source: RNAcentral
GGUGAACGCUGGCGGCGUGCCUAAUACAUGCAAGUCGAGCGAACAGACGAGGAGCUUGCUCCUCUGACGUUAGCGGCGGACGGGUGAGUAACACGUGGAUAACCUACCUAUAAGACUGGGAUAACUUCGGGAAACCGGAGCUAAUACCGGAUAAUAUAUUGAACCGCAUGGUUCAAUAGUGAAAGACGGUUUUGCUGUCACUUAUAGAUGGAUCCGCGCCGCAUUAGCUAGUUGGUAAGGUAACGACUUACCAAGGCAACGAUGCGUAGCCGACCUGAGAGGGUGAUCGGCCACACUGGAACUGAGACACGGUCCAGACUCCUACGGGAGGCAGCAGUAGGGAAUCUUCCGCAAUGGGCGAAAGCCUGACGGAGCAACGCCGCGUGAGUGAUGAAGGUCUUCGGAUCGUAAAACUCUGUUAUUAGGGAAGAACAAAUGUGUAAGUAACUAUGCACGUCUUGACGGUACCUAAUCAGAAAGCCACGGCUAACUACGUG